RNAcentral lists this long non-coding RNA (615 nucleotides) under Carica papaya (papaya). RNAcentral's name for it is "long non-coding RNA (CPAP_LNC005321)". The record is from RNAcentral. Lineage: Eukaryota; Viridiplantae; Streptophyta; Magnoliopsida; Brassicales; Caricaceae.
ACCUUAUCCUCCUUCAAGGUGCUUUCAUAGAAACUUUAGCUCCAUUCCAGCUAUUUGGGCCACCUUAAGCCCACCUAAACCCUUAAGGCCCAGUCCACUUAAAGCCCAAAAGGUCUAAAUUGCACAUAAAGUUAGGCUCAUGCCCAAACCCUUAAUUCAAAACUCUAUAACUUUCUCAAUUCUUAAUCUUUUUAAGCAAACCUAUACUUCAAGUGUUCCUCAAGCAGGAAGCUAUCACAUGGUUUUUUUUUGGGCUUUAUCUAGGUUCAUUUGGCCCAUCUAUGGCCUAAACAAGCCUGAAAGGUCAAAAUUAUCUUCCAUGUGCAUCCAUCUCGGGUUUGGCCUCAUUUCUCCCAACUGUUCUUCUACAUAUAUUUUUUUUUCCACACACUUCUUCCCUAAUAUAAUUUCUAGUUAUCAACCAAAAGUGAGUCUCAAUUUUCAAGUACUUUAGUCUCGAGAUGCAAAUCAAUCUAAAAGGGUAAAAAAGAGUUCCUUAGCGGAUUUUCUCUUGCACAUGAGGGAUUUCUCUACAGAUUCUUCAUCCAAUUAUUUUCUCACUAUUUAAAAGCAUUGUUUUUUACCUUCUAUGAGGUCUUUUUAGCUUCAAGAAGC